RNAcentral lists this ribosomal RNA (484 nucleotides) under uncultured bacterium. Its description in RNAcentral is "partial 16S ribosomal RNA". It matches the Rfam family "Bacterial small subunit ribosomal RNA", at positions 30 to 507 of the family's 1533-position model. The record is from RNAcentral.
AUUGAACGCUGGCGGCAUGCUUUACACAUGCAAGUCGAACGGCAGCGCGGGCUUCGGCCUGGCGGCGAGUGGCGAACGGGUGAGUAAUACAUCGGAACGUGCCCAGUCGUGGGGGAUAGCUCGGCGAAAGCCGGAUUAAUACCGCAUACGACCUGAGGGUGAAAGCGGGGGAUCUUCGGACCUCGCGCUAUUGGAUCGGCCGAUGGCAGAUUAGCUAGUUGGUUGGGUAAAGGCCUACCAAGGCGACGAUCCGUAGCUGGUCUGAGAGGACGACCAGCCACACUGGGACUGAGACACGGCCCAGACUCCUACGGGAGGCAGCAGUGGGGAAUUUUGGACAAUGGGCGAAAGCCUGAUCCAGCAAUGCCGCGUGUGUGAUGAAGGCCUUCGGGUUGUAAAGCACUUUUGGCGGGAACGAAAAGGACUGUGCCAAUACCACGGUUCGAUGACGGUACCCGCAGAAUAAGCACCGGCUAACUACGUG